This 468-nucleotide ribosomal RNA is filed under the name uncultured bacterium. RNAcentral's name for it is "partial 16S ribosomal RNA". It matches the Rfam family "Bacterial small subunit ribosomal RNA", at positions 28 to 507 of the family's 1533-position model. The record is from RNAcentral.
GACGAACGCUGGCGGCGUGCUUAACACAUGCAAGUCGAACGGAAAGGCCCUGCUUUGGUGGGGUGCUCGAGUGGCGAACGGGUGAGUAACACGUGAGUAACCUGCCCUGUACUUUGGGAUAACUUCUGGAAACUGUGGCUAAUACCGGAUAGGAGCUCCUGCUGCAUGGUGGGUGUUGGAAAGUUUCGGCGGUUGGGGUUGGACUCGCGGCUGAUCAGCUUGUUGGUGGGGUAGUGGCUUACCAAGGCUUUGACGGGUAGCCGGCCUGAGAGGGUGACCGGCCACAUUGGGACUGAGGUACGGGCCAGAGUCCUACGGGAGGCAGCAGUGGGGAAUAUUGCACAAUGGGCGGAAGCCUUAUGCAGCAACGCCGGGUGCGGGAUGACGGCCUUCGGGUUGUAAACCGCUUGCGCCUGUGACGAAGAGUGAGUGACGGUAAUGGGUAAAGAAGCACCGGCUAACUACGUG